GCUUAACACAUGCAAGUCGAGGGGCAUCAGGAAGAAAGCUUGCUUUCUUUGCUGGCGACCGGCGCACGGGUGAGUAACACGUAUCCAACCUGCCCUUUACUCGGGGAUAGCCUUUCGAAAGAAAGAUUAAUACCCGAUAGCAUAAUGAUUCCGCAUGGUUUCAUUAUUAAAGGAUUCCGGUAAAGGAUGGGGAUGCGUUCCAUUAGGUUGUUGGUGAGGUAACGGCCCACCAAGCCUUCGAUGGAUAGGGGUUCUGAGAGGAAGGUCCCCCACAUUGGAACUGAGACACGGUCCAAACUCCUACGGGAGGCAGCAGUGAGGAAUAUUGGUCAAUGGGCGCUAGCCUGAACCAGCCAAGUAGCGUGAAGGAUGAAGGCUCUAUGGGUCGUAAACUUCUUUUAUAUAAGAAUAAAGUGCAGUAUGUAUACUGUUUUGUAUGUAUUAUAUGAAUAAGGAUCGGCUAACUCCGUGCCAGCAGCCGCGGUAAUACGGAGGAUCCGAGCGUUAUCCGGAUUUAUUGGGUUUAAAGGGAGCGUAGGUGGACUGGUAAGUCAGUUGUGAAAGUUUGCGGCUCAACCGUAAAAUUGCAGUUGAUACUGUCAGUCUUGAGUACAGUAGAGGUGGGCGGAAUUCGUGGUGUAGCGGUGAAAUGCUUAGAUAUCACGAAGAACUCCGAUUGCGAAGGCAGCUCACUGGACUGCAACUGACACUGAUGCUCGAAAGUGUGGGUAUCAAACAGGAUUAGAUACCCUGGUAGUCCACACAGUAAACGAUGAAUACUCGCUGUUUGCGAUAUACAGUAAGCGGCCAAGCGAAAGCAUUAAGUAUUCCACCUGGGGAGUACGCCGGCAACGGUGAAACUCAAAGGAAUUGACGGGGGCCCGCACAAGCGGAGGAACAUGUGGUUUAAUUCGAUGAUACGCGAGGAACCUUACCCGGGCUUAAAUUGCAGUGGAAUGAUGUGGAAACAUGUCAGUGAGCAAUCACCGCUGUGAAGGUGCUGCAUGGUUGUCGUCAGCUCGUGCCGUGAGGUGUCGGCUUAAGUGCCAUAACGAGCGCAACCCUUAUCUUUAGUUACUAACAGGUUAUGCUGAGGACUCUAGAGAGACUGCCGUCGUAAGAUGUGAGGAAGGUGGGGAUGACGUCAAAUCAGCACGGCCCUUACGUCCGGGGCUACACACGUGUUACAAUGGGGGGUACAGAAGGCAGCUAGCGGGUGACCGUAUGCUAAUCCCAAAAUCCUCUCUCAGUUCGGAUCGAAGUCUGCAACCCGACUUCGUGAAGCUGGAUUCGCUAGUAAUCGCGCAUCAGCCACGGCGCGGUGAAUACGUUCCCGGGCCUUGUACACACCGCCCGUCAAGCCAUGGGAGCCGGGGGUACCUGAAGUACGUAACCGCAAGGAUCGUCCUAGGGUAAAACUGGUGACUGGGGCUAAGUCA
RNAcentral lists this ribosomal RNA (1439 nucleotides) under uncultured organism. Its description in RNAcentral is "SSU rRNA". It matches the Rfam family "Bacterial small subunit ribosomal RNA". The record is from RNAcentral.